This 123-nucleotide ribosomal RNA is filed under the name Periophthalmus magnuspinnatus. The record is from RNAcentral. Lineage: Eukaryota; Metazoa; Chordata; Actinopteri; Gobiiformes; Gobiidae.
UGUUAGGGCCGUACCACCUUGCAAAUAUGUUAUCUUGUCUGAUCUCAGAAGCUAAGCAUCACAGGGUUGGCCCUGGUUUGUACCGGAAUGUGAGACCGCUGGGAAUAUCGGGUGCUCUAGUUG